GCCGCGAUAGCUCAGUCGGCAGAGCACGGCCAUGGUAGGGCCGGGGUCGUGGGUUCGAUUCCCACUCGCGGCUCGA
This 76-nucleotide transfer RNA is filed under the name Actinomycetes bacterium. RNAcentral's name for it is "Actinobacteria bacterium tRNA-Thr". It matches the Rfam family "tRNA". From Rfam's summary of the family: Transfer RNA (tRNA) molecules are approximately 80 nucleotides in length. Their secondary structure includes four short double-helical elements and three loops (D, anti-codon, and T loops). Further hydrogen bonds mediate the characteristic L-shaped molecular structure. tRNAs have two regions of fundamental functional importance: the anti-codon, which is responsible for specific mRNA codon recognition, and the 3' end, to which the tRNAs corresponding amino acid is attached (by aminoacyl-tRNA synthetases). tRNAs cope with the degeneracy of the genetic code in two manners: having more than one tRNA (with a specific anti-codon) for a particular amino acid; and 'wobble' base-pairing, i.e. permitting non-standard base-pairing at the 3rd anti-codon position. Lineage: Bacteria; Bacillati; Actinomycetota; Actinomycetes. The record is from RNAcentral.